CGCCGCUGCUAUGGGCGCCACUGUUGUUGUGAAGCCCCGACGCCGCCGCUCACUCCGCCAUGUUGCCGCCCCCUGCCUGCGGUAGCGGCCACUGCGCCUGCGCAGAGCCUCCGGGGGGCGGAGCCCUGGCGGCACCCCCUCUUUCGCCCUGCCCUCCUUCUCCUUCCACCCACCCACCCCGACACCCCUUGUCCCUCCCCCAACCACUCUGAACGGAUAGACAGGGGGAGAUUCAUCUUCGUCGUCGCACCCAGCUGCUGCUACUGCCAGUGCCACGUGCCUUGCAAGAUAAAGAAGCACCAGCAGAGCUGGCGAGCAGAAACCUGGCCUCAGGGCAAAAGAGAUGCCACAGAAAUAGUUACACAGGCCUCGGAAGGGAAGCCUCCACUGCGUGUACGGCCCCCGUGGACUGCCACAGGAUUUCCUAGGAUCCUCCUGGAAGCCUCAAAGAAUGGGUCAGAUUUUUUGGAUUCUAAGCAUCAUGACACUCUAUAAAAGAGAGCCUGGAGCAACCUUGAAAUUAAGCCACACAGGCAGCCAUUUACUUGGUUAAUGAACAUUGCUAUUUCAUUGGUUUUAAGCUUAUCAGAAAAAUAAUUGAGUUGAGAGUAAUUGGGUUUACAUCAUGGAUUGAACUUUGGAAACUUCACUGACCACUUAAUUUAAACAGGCGCUGGUGCUGAUGGUCAUUCUGGCUCCUGGCUGGAAGCUCCCUGGAGAGGCACUGGUGGCAGCAGAAUUCUCACCUUCUCGAGGUGCUCAGGGUUGGAAUCCUAGGUACAUCAGGGAAGCUCUCCUAGUCAACACAGGAGACGCGGGGAAAAUCAGGUUGCUAGAAGCUCCUUCUCAGUCAUUUUUUGGACCGUAAGAGCUGAACAAUGUUUGUCAGUAGUGAGGUGGGCGCGUUAUUCGGUACGAACUUUACUGGCUCCCUGAGUGAUGACAUCGCACUGGAGUGCAUGCCUUUAGCACUGUCACAUCCUUCUCCUGAAGAGGUAACACGGGUCUCAGGAAUUUCUGCAUGUCUUUGAAUUGUGUCAGAAACCGAUCAGCGUCACCCUUCCAGGUCUCCUAAUUGUAGGUUUAAUACGGGAAAGUGCAUCUAAUUAGGGAUCCUUUCCUGGUGCAGAUAUUUUUAGAAGCAGAUUUAGACGACAAGGAUUCAAUUCAACUAUGUCCAUUAUGUUUAAAGGUGACCUUAGAGUAUGUGUUUUCAUCAUUUCCCCACAGUAGAGCUGGCCUUGUGCUGGUGCACUAGAGCUGUCACACCUGGCUCCCUUGUGAUCAGAGACAUGCCAAGAGAGAGUGACACUCUGAGAGCAGAUCCAAUCCAUGACCUUUGCCUCAUUAGCAGCCUGACCCAACCAAUCAGAGAAAAGGCUGCCUUUGAUUCUGUAGCACAGACAUGGCUGUGACAAGGACAGUGAUCGACUCCUUGAUGUGACUCCCAGAGGAAGCCCGGGUUCUCUUUGAAAUGCUUUGUCCGUGCUGACAUACCAGUGUAGGAUGCCUUUCACUUGGCUGUCUUUCUCCCCCUCUGGAUCUCAUUCUCUCUUUAAUUAAAAUGCCAGCAUGCUCAGGUUACCCACUGAUCUUACGUAAAUGCAAGUCAUAUAUCUAUUUCCUUUUUCUCAGAAAUGCAUCAAACACUCACAGAUAUGCACUGAAAUUCAAUAUCUAUAUUUUUAGAUUUUCUUAAUUAAAAAAAGUAACUGUUCAUUAGCAAUAGUUCUAGAAUUACUAAAUAAAAGGUAGCAAAAUAGUACAAAAACUUUCAGUGUACCCUUCACCUGGCUUACCCAGAUGUUGACGUCUUAUUGUCUUAGCAUAAUGAUUGAGAGAGUGUGGAAUCCACUAGGGAAGCAUAAUGAUCAAAACCAGGAAACUAACAUGCAAUAUGAUUAACUAAUCUUCAGACUUUAUUAAAAAUUUCCCCAUUGUUCCACCAGUAUCCCUGUUCUGAUUUAGGAGCCAGUCCAGGAUCACACAUUGCAUUUAGUAGUCCCGAUUUCUUAGUCUCUUCCAAUCUGGGACCAUUUCUCUGUCUUGACUUUUGAAGAAUACCAGCUAGUUACUUUGUAAAACGUCCCUCAAUUUGAGGUAGGCGGUGCUUUCUUCAUAUCAAAAUCAGACGACGCAUUUCUUUUUGGUAAGAAACCACCAUGGUGAUGUUGUGUCCUUCUCAGUCCAUCACUGUAUUAAUUACUCUGAUCACCGGUAAUGCUCACUCUGAUCACUUACGAUGCUGUCUGCCACUGUAAAGGGACUAGUCUACCCUUUGAGAUUAAAAAAAAUAAAAUAAAAUUUCUCCACAAAUUAUGUUGUGGAGAGAUAACCAAAGAUUAUAUAAGCAUACUGUCUCUUACAAUAUUUACUUAAAUCUUUGGAUUUUUCCAACUAAAAAGUGUAAGCAGAUGAAUAAAAUCAAAAAAGAAUUAAGGGAAUUCCCAUCUUGGCUCAGUGGAAAUGAAUCCGACUAGGAUCCUUGAGGACACAGGUUUGAUCCUUGGCCUUGCUCAGCAAGUUAGGGAUCUGGUUGCCAUGAGCUGUGGUGUAGGUCACAGAUGAGGCUUGGAUCUGGUGUUGCUAUCUGUGGCUGUGGUGUAGGCUGGUGGCUACAGCUCUGAUUCAACCUCUAGCCUGGGAACCUCCAUAUGCUGGGGAUGCGGCUCUAAAAAGACAAAAAACAAACUAAAAAGAAUUAAACAAAUGCAGAGAUAUUCCAUGACCAUGAUAGAAAGACUCAACGUUGUCAUGACAUCAGUUCUCAAUUUGAUCUGUAGAUUCAGUGGACUCCAAGUCAAAAUCCCAGCAAGUUAUUUUGUGAAUAUUGACAAACUCAUUCUAAAGUUUACGUGGAGCAGCAAAAGACCUAGAAUAGUCAACACAAUAUUGAAGGAGGAGAACACAGUUAGAGGACUUAUGCUACCUGACUUCAAGACUUAUUUAAGACAGCCUUUUCAAUAAAUGCUGCUGGCAAAACGGGACAUCCACAUGCAAAAUAAUGAAUUAGACAUAGACGUUACUACCCAUCCAUCUCAAGAAUCAACUCUAAAAGGAUUACAGCUCUAAAUGUAAACCCCCAAAACUAUAAAGCUCCUAGAAGGUAAUAGAGGGGAAAACCUAGAUAACCUUGCAUAUAGCAGUAACUUUUUAUAUACAACACCAAAGACACAAGGCAUGAAGGAACUAAUUGGUAAGCUAGAUUUCACUCAAAUAAAAACUUCUGUUUUGCGAAAGACAACAUCAAGAGAAUGAGAAGACAAGCCCAAACUGAGAGAAACAUACUUGCAAAAGAUAUCUGGUAAAGGAUUGUUAAGCAAAACAUACAAAGAACUCUUAAAACUCAACAAUAAAACAAUUAAAAAAUGAGCCAAAGACCUUAAUAGACACCUGUUAUUGUCGAUAAUAAAGUAUAUACAAAGAUGCUCCACAGCAUAUGUCAUCAGGGAAAUUUGAAUUAAACAAAAAUGACAUAAAACUAUACACCAUUAAAGUGACCAAAAUCCAGAACACUAAUAAGACCAAAAGCUGAUAAGAAUGUAGAGCAACAGGAACUCACAUUGAUUGCUGGUGGGAAAUGCUAAAUGGCACAGCCACAUUGGAAGGCAGUCUGGAAGGUUUUUAGUAAAUGAAACAUACUUUACCAUGUGAUUCAGCAUUGAUGUUCCUUGAAACUUACCCAAGAAGCUGAAAACUUACGUACAGCAAAAAACCUGCACAUGGAUUUUUAUAGAAGCAUUAUUCAUAACUUCUAAAAUUUAGAAGCAACCAAGAUGUCCUUCAGCAGGUGAAUGGAUAAAUAACCCGUGAUACAUCCUGAUAAUGGAAUACGAUGCAGCACUAAAAAAGAAAUGAACUAUCAAGCCUUGAAAAGACAUGAAAGAACCUUAAUUGCAUAUUAUCAAGUGAAAGAAGACAAUCUGAAAGAUUACACAUUGUAUGAUUCCAACUAUACAAUAUUCCAGAAAAGGCAAAACUAUGGAUAUAAAAAAGAUCAGUGGUUUCUAGGGGUUGGAAAGUGGAGAGGGCUGAAUAGACAGAGUAGGGGAAAUUUUUUGGGCAGUGACAAUACUCUGCAUGAUACCGUAAUGAUGGAUACAUGUCACUAUACAUUUGUCUAAACCCAUAGACUGUAUUACACCAAGAGUGAACCAUAAUGUAAACUGUGGACUUUGAAUGAUUAUGAUGUGUCAGUGUAGGUUCAUUAAUUGUAACACGUAUCCAUCUGAUGGGGAAUGUUGAUAAACGGGAGGCUGUACCUGUGUAGGGGGAAUGGGUAUAUGAGAAAUCCCUGUACCUUCCCCCUUGGUUUGCUAUAAACCAAAACAACUCUAAAAAGCAAAGUUUUAAUAAUAAAAAAAAAGUGUUAGUGAGACCUU
RNAcentral lists this long non-coding RNA (4382 nucleotides) under Sus scrofa (pig). Its description in RNAcentral is "lncRNA (ENSSSCG00030070258.1)". The record is from RNAcentral. Lineage: Eukaryota; Metazoa; Chordata; Mammalia; Artiodactyla; Suidae.